This 87-nucleotide transfer RNA is filed under the name Thermoleophilaceae bacterium. Its description in RNAcentral is "tRNA-Ser". It matches the Rfam family "tRNA". Rfam says of the family: Transfer RNA (tRNA) molecules are approximately 80 nucleotides in length. Their secondary structure includes four short double-helical elements and three loops (D, anti-codon, and T loops). The record is from RNAcentral. Lineage: Bacteria; Bacillati; Actinomycetota; Thermoleophilia; Thermoleophilales; Thermoleophilaceae.
GGAGAGAUGCCAGAGCGGUUGAAUGGGGCGGUCUCGAAAACCGUUGACCGCGUAAGCGGUUCGAGGGUUCGAAUCCCUCUCUCUCCG